RNAcentral lists this ribosomal RNA (2522 nucleotides) under Enterococcus faecium. RNAcentral's name for it is "bacterial LSU rRNA". It matches the Rfam family "Bacterial large subunit ribosomal RNA", at positions 1 to 2535 of the family's 2925-position model. The record is from RNAcentral. Lineage: Bacteria; Bacillati; Bacillota; Bacilli; Lactobacillales; Enterococcaceae.
UUAAGUGAAUAAGGGCGCACGGUGGAUGCCUUGGCACUAGGAGCCGAUGAAGGACGGGACUAACACCGAUAUGCUUUGGGGAGCUGUACGUAAGCUAUGAUCCAGAGAUUUCCGAAUGGGGGAACCCAACAUCUUUAAUAGGAUGUUACGAUUGUGUGAAUACAUAGCACAUUCGAGGUAGACGCAGAGAACUGAAACAUCUAAGUACCUGCAGGAAGAGAAAGAAAAUUCGAUUCCCUGAGUAGCGGCGAGCGAAACGGGAAAAGCCCAAACCAGCAAGCUUGCUUGUUGGGGUUGUAGGACUCCAAUAUGGUAGUUCUUUCAGAUAGUCGAAUGACUUGGAAAAGUCAGUCAAAGAGGGUAAAAACCCCGUAGACGAAAUGUGGAAGACACCUAGGAGGAUCCUGAGUACGGCGGAACACGAGAAAUUCCGUCGGAAUCCGGGAGGACCAUCUCCCAAGGCUAAAUACUCCCUAGUGACCGAUAGUGAACCAGUACCGUGAGGGAAAGGUGAAAAGCACCCCGGAAGGGGAGUGAAAUAGAACCUGAAACCGUGUGCCUACAACAAGUCAAAGCCCGUUAAUGGGUGAUGGCGUGCCUUUUGUAGAAUGAACCGGCGAGUUACGAUUGCAUGCGAGGUUAAGUUGAAGAGACGGAGCCGCAGCGAAAGCGAGUCUGAAUAGGGCGUUUGAGUAUGUAGUCGUAGACCCGAAACCAUGUGAUCUACCCAUGUCCAGGUUGAAGGUGCGGUAAAACGCACUGGAGGACCGAACCCACGUACGUUGAAAAGUGCGGGGAUGAGGUGUGGGUAGCGGAGAAAUUCCAAACGAACUUGGAGAUAGCUGGUUCUCUCCGAAAUAGCUUUAGGGCUAGCCUCGGAAUUGAGAAUGAUGGAGGUAGAGCACUGUUUGGACUAGGGGCCCAUCUCGGGUUACCGAAUUCAGAUAAACUCCGAAUGCCAUUCAUUCAUAUCCGGGAGUCAGACUGUGAGUGAUAAGAUCCAUAGUCGAAAGGGAAACAGCCCAGACCACCAGCUAAGGUCCCAAAAUAUAUGUUAAGUGGAAAAGGAUGUGGGGUUGCACAGACAACUAGGAUGUUGGCUUAGAAGCAGCCACCAUUUAAAGAGUGCGUAAUAGCUCACUAGUCGAGUGACCCUGCGCCGAAAAUGUACCGGGGCUAAACAUAUUACCGAAGCUGUGGAGUACACCUUUAGGUGUAUUGGUAGGAGAGCGUUCUAAGGGCGUUGAAGGCAGAUCGUGAGGACUGCUGGAGCGCUUAGAAGUGAGAAUGCCGGUAUGAGUAGCGAAAGACAGGUGAGAAUCCUGUCCACCGAAUGACUAAGGUUUCCUGGGGAAGGCUCGUCCGCCCAGGGUUAGUCGGGACCUAAGCCGAGGCCGACAGGCGUAGGCGAUGGAUAACAGGUUGAUAUUCCUGUACCCGUUGUUUUUGUUUGAGCAAUGGAGGGACGCAGGAGGCUAAGGAAUGCAGACGAUCGGAAAUGUCUGUCCAAGCAGUAAGUCUGAAGAGGAGUCAAAUGCUUCUUUUCUUAAGGACAAGCUGUGAUGGGGAGGGAAAUAAUAGUACCGAAGUUCCUGAUGUCACACUGCCGAGAAAAGCUUCUAGUGAGAAAACAGCGGCCCGUACCGCAAACCGACACAGGUAGUCGAGGAGAGAAUCCUAAGGUGAGCGAGAGAACUCUCGUUAAGGAACUCGGCAAAAUGACCCCGUAACUUCGGGAGAAGGGGUGCUGAUCAUACGAUCAGCCGCAGUGAAUAGGCCCAAGCGACUGUUUAUCAAAAACACAGGUCUCUGCAAAAUCGUAAGAUGAAGUAUAGGGGCUGACGCCUGCCCGGUGCUGGAAGGUUAAGAGGAGUGCUUAGCGCAAGCGAAGGUACGAAUUGAAGCCCCAGUAAACGGCGGCCGUAACUAUAACGGUCCUAAGGUAGCGAAAUUCCUUGUCGGGUAAGUUCCGACCCGCACGAAAGGCGUAACGAUUUGGGCACUGUCUCAACGAGAGACUCGGUGAAAUUUUAGUACCUGUGAAGAUGCAGGUUACCCGCGACAGGACGGAAAGACCCCAUGGAGCUUUACUGUAGUUUGAUAUUGAGUGUCUGUACCGCAUGUACAGGAUAGGUAGGAGCCGUAGAAAUCGGAACGCUAGUUUCGAUGGAGGCGCUGGUGGGAUACUACCCCUGCGUUAUGGCCACUCUAACCCGCACCACUAAUCGUGGUGGGAGACAGUGUCAGAUGGGCAGUUUGACUGGGGCGGUCGCCUCCUAAAAGGUAACGGAGGCGCCCAAAGGUUCCCUCAGAAUGGUUGGAAAUCAUUCGAAGAGUGUAAAGGCAGAAGGGAGCUUGACUGCGAGACCAACAAGUCGAGCAGGGACGAAAGUCGGGCUUAGUGAUCCGGUGGUUCCGCAUGGAAGGGCCAUCGCUCAACGGAUAAAAGCUACCCUGGGGAUAACAGGCUUAUCUCCCCCAAGAGUCCACAUCGACGGGGAGGUUUGGCACCUCGAUGUCGG